GAAUUUAAAAGUCGAACAGACUUAAUAUAAAGAAUGCUGCUUCUUUAAUUUAUCUUAAUUCAACAUCGAGGUCGCAAAAAUCAAUAUAAAUAUGAACUCCCCAUUGAUAUUACGCUGUUAUCCCUAAGGUAACUUUAUCUUAUUAUUAUAAAAAUAGAUCAUAAAAUACACAAAAAAAGUGAUAAAAAAAAUUAAAGUUAAAAUUUAACUACCUCCCCAGUAAAAAACAAUAGUAUUAUUAAAUAUUUUUAUAAAAAUUAAUUAAUAACAAAAGCUUUAAGUUCUAUAGGGUCUUAUCGUCCCAAGAAAAGAAUUAAGCAUUUUAACUUAAAAUUUAAAUUUUAAAAAUAUAAUUAAUAAAAUAUGAUUUUCAUAUAUCCAUUCAUUCCAGCUCCUAAUUAAGAAACUAAUUACUAUGCUACCUUUGCACAGUCAAUAUACUGCAGCCAUUUAGAACUAACCAUAGGGCAGAAAAUACCUUUUAUGUUUUUACA
This 494-nucleotide ribosomal RNA is filed under the name Opsianus sp. GMB-2012. RNAcentral's name for it is "partial 16S ribosomal RNA". Lineage: Eukaryota; Metazoa; Arthropoda; Insecta; Hemiptera; Cicadellidae. The record is from RNAcentral.